Molecule: long non-coding RNA, 1328 nt
Filed under: Cyanistes caeruleus (blue tit)
Lineage: Eukaryota; Metazoa; Chordata; Aves; Passeriformes; Paridae
Description: lncRNA (ENSCCEG00000006171.1)
Source: RNAcentral
GCUGUGAUGCUCAGUGUCACCACAUCAGCACACACAGCCAGAAGCCUGGCCCAGGCAGCUGCAGCAAGAAAUCCCCAGAGUGGUGAGACAUCCUCAUUGCAAAGCCAUCCUCUGCAGCAGCUGCCAACAGCUCAGCCCCUUGUGGAUGCACAGCAGAAAGGGAUUAUAUUUCUUUGCCCCACUGCAAGGCUGAGGAUUAAUCCUAACACUGAUAUAAAAAACCUGCAAAUUGGCAUUUGGAGGAGAAGAAGGGGUGAGGCCAAGGAUAGAUUUUCUCACUGCACCUGCUUUGGGUGUCUGGCCAUGGGCACAAGCACCCCAGAGCGAGCUGUUGUGUUUGAUCCACUGGUUUGUGAGCUUUCCCUUGCACAGCUGCAGAAAGAAACCCUGGAAAUUUUUUGUGUCUUGGAAAUCUCCAGACGUGUGUUGAGAGGCAGGAUAGAAAUGUGUUUGAGCUCACACCCAGCAAAGCCCCAACACCAGCAUUGUGUCAAUGGGACGGGAAAACCCAGCCCUAGACUCUGCCUGGAUGCAACAAGGAUUCAACUGGACAAUCAAGAAGCCAAACAGGAGGUUUGACAGUGUACAAGAAUGAAAAACAAAAAAUUCCCAACAAACCCAGACACAUACGAAAGAAAAUCCAAUUUUAUUAUUUUUUUCUAAUGAAUGCCGGUGGGGUUGCUCUUUUUGGUACUUUGGGCAUUUACAUAUAAAUUGCUCUGUAAUGGCUCUGCCCUCCUUCUCUUCAGUGUGCUGUUAAUGAGCUGUACAAAAGGUCAGGGGCUGAGCCUGCGCUGCUCAGUGGUGUGGCAGUGGUGUGGUCCUGUCCUCCUUCCCCUGCCACACUCCCCGCUGGCCACACAGGGUACCAGGCACCCAAAAAAGCAAUCAGUCACCUCAACGAUGCCAAAGGAGUCCUGUCCCAGCAGUGAUGAGCUCUGCAUCCCGUUCCCAGCGAGGUUUUGUCCAUCAUCCAGAUGUGUUAUAGGGGCACAGCUGGCAAAGGCUCCUGAGCUCUGCUGGUGCCGGUGACAGGAGGAUUAAUUGAAUUCCUUCAGCCCAGUGUGCUCGUGGCUGCCAGCAGAUGAACCCCAAACUGGCAGUGCUGCAGAGGCCAGCAUCACCCUGAAUGAGGACAUCUGUCCUGAGACAUCUUGGGGCACCCUGGGACAAAAAGGGACAGAACCACCAGCCAGGUCCAUGCAGGGACAGCAGGGGGAGGCUGGAGAGCUGGGGACAGGCUGCUCAGCAGGCAGGAGGGCUGGGGAACUCCAGGUGCUUCCAACAACAGGGGAAAAAGAAAUAAAAGGGAAAGAAAUGAAAGAGCA